RNAcentral lists this transfer RNA (85 nucleotides) under Candidatus Nitrosopumilus sp. RNAcentral describes it as "Nitrosopumilus sp. tRNA-Leu". It matches the Rfam family "tRNA". From Rfam's summary of the family: Transfer RNA (tRNA) molecules are approximately 80 nucleotides in length. Their secondary structure includes four short double-helical elements and three loops (D, anti-codon, and T loops). Further hydrogen bonds mediate the characteristic L-shaped molecular structure. tRNAs have two regions of fundamental functional importance: the anti-codon, which is responsible for specific mRNA codon recognition, and the 3' end, to which the tRNAs corresponding amino acid is attached (by aminoacyl-tRNA synthetases). tRNAs cope with the degeneracy of the genetic code in two manners: having more than one tRNA (with a specific anti-codon) for a particular amino acid; and 'wobble' base-pairing, i.e. permitting non-standard base-pairing at the 3rd anti-codon position. Lineage: Archaea; Thermoproteati; Nitrososphaerota; Nitrososphaeria; Nitrosopumilales; Nitrosopumilaceae. The record is from RNAcentral.
GGGGGGGUAGUCUAGCCCGGCCAAAGACGCUGGACUUAAGAUCCGGUCCCUUAGGGGUUCGCGGGUUCGAAUCCCGCCCCCUCCA